Molecule: ribosomal RNA, 493 nt
Filed under: uncultured bacterium
Lineage: Bacteria
Description: bacterial SSU rRNA
Rfam family: Bacterial small subunit ribosomal RNA
Source: RNAcentral
UCAGUUGUGAAAGUUUGCGGCUCAACCGUAAAAUUGCAGUUGAUACUGGCAGUCUUGAGUGCAGUAGAGGUGGGCGGAAUUCGUGGUGUAGCGGUGAAAUGCUUAGAUAUCACGAAGAACUCCGAUUGCGAAGGCAGCUCACUGGAGUGUAACUGACGCUGAUGCUCGAAAGUGUGGGUAUCAAACAGGAUUAGAUACCCUGGUAGUCCACACAGUAAACGAUGAAUACUCGCUGUUUGCGAUAUACGGCAAGCGGCCAAGCGAAAGCGUUAAGUAUUCCACCUGGGGAGUACGCCGGCAACGGUGAAACUCAAAGGAAUUGACGGGGGCCCGCACAAGCGGAGGAACAUGUGGUUUAAUUCGAUGAUACGCGAGGAACCUUACCCGGGCUUAAAUUGCACUCGAAUGAUCCGGAAACGGUUCAGCUAGCAAUAGCGAGUGUGAAGGUGCUGCAUGGUUGUCGUCAGCUCGUGCCGUGAGGUGUCGGCUUAAG